AUUUCGAUUUUUAUGGCCCCACUUAUGGGCUCCAGCAACAGCACCAACUCCAACUCCAGCUCCUGCCAAACCACCAGCUGAUCACAGUGGCUCAUAAAAACAGCUGACUCCAAUUAGCCACAUGGCACCGGUACCGGCAUCCUCAUCGGCAUCUCGGACUGGACUCUUCUCUCCGCACGCACAUGGUCAACUCGAAGUCCAGGCAGGAGAAUUCCCAUGCAGACUCUGGAGCGAUUAAGUUUAACGAGCCGGCAAUGAGGAGUUUUCGUUUGCGGAGAGCAUAGAAUGUGCAUGAAGAAAUGAAGGUGGAGCUCCGUAACAAAACAGGCCCCGGCGAGUGGUUCGUGUCAGAGUUCAAUUAAUUCAAUUAAGUGAUUGGGUCCUACUUAAGUGGAGUCUACUCCGGCGGCGUGUUGUCGUGAAUCCACUCGGAAAAGUGGGCCACGGAUGUGUAGACACUCGGGAUGCGCAGACCGCCGCAGUUAUCAGAUCCAAAGGACAUGAUGCCGAUCUGUGGGAUAAGUUACUUAAAGUUUUAGUUGCAGAUAAAUAUAUAAAGUUUUCCGGCACUAGAUAGCAGUAAAUUACGAUUUAUUGAACGGAUUGUAGAUCGAAUGCAU
Drosophila mauritiana is the source of this 620-nucleotide long non-coding RNA. RefSeq lists it as uncharacterized. The record is from RefSeq and is a predicted model, not a curated record. NCBI's taxonomy places the organism in Eukaryota, Metazoa, Arthropoda, Insecta, Diptera, Drosophilidae. The transcript is spliced from 3 exons.